AACGAACGCUGGCGGCAUGCCUAACACAUGCAAGUCGAACGAGACCUUCGGGUCUAGUGGCGCACGGGUGCGUAACGCGUGGGAACCUGCCCUUAGGUUCGUAAUAACUCCCCGUCAGGGGUGCUAAUACCGGAUAAUGUCUUCGGACCAAGGAUUUAUCGCCUUUGGAUGGGCCCGGGGUGGAUUAGCUAGUUGGUAGGGUAAAAGCCUACCAAGGCGACGAUCCAUAGCUGGUCUGAGAGGAUGAUCAGCCACACUGGGACUGAGACACGGCCCAGACUCCUACGGGAGGCAGCAGUGGGGAAUAUUGGACAAUGGGCGAAAGUCUGAUCCAGCAAUGCCGCGUGAGUGAUGAAGGCCUUAGGGUUGUAAAGCUCUUUUACCCGGGAUGAGAAUGACAGUACCGGGAGAAUAAGCUCCGGCUAACUCCGUG
Molecule: ribosomal RNA, 433 nt
Filed under: uncultured bacterium
Lineage: Bacteria
Description: partial 16S ribosomal RNA
Rfam family: Bacterial small subunit ribosomal RNA
Source: RNAcentral